CAAACUCCGAAUGCCAAUUAAUUUAACUUGGGAGUCAGAACAUGGGUGAUAAGGUCCGUGUUCGAAAGGGAAACAGCCCAGACCACCAGCUAAGGUCCCAAAAUAUAUGUUAAGUGGAAAAGGAUGUGGCGUUGCCCAGACAACUAGGAUGUUGGCUUAGAAGCAGCCAUCAUUUAAAGAGUGCGUAAUAGCUCACUAGUCGAGUGACACUGCGCCGAAAAUGUACCGGGGCUAAACAUAUUACCGAAGCUGUGGAUUGUCCUUUGGACAAUGGUAGGAGAGCGUUCUAAGGGCGUUGAAGCAUGAUCGUAAGGACAUGUGGAGCGCUUAGAAGUGAGAAUGCCGGUGUGAGUAGCGAAAGACGGGUGAGAAUCCCGUCCACCGAUUGACUAAGGUUUCCAGAGGAAGGCUCGUCCGCUCUGGGUUAGUCGGGUCCUAAGCUGAGGCCGACAGGCGUAGGCGAUGGAUAACAGGUUGAUAUUCCUGUACCACCUAUAAUCGUUUUAAUCGAUGGGGGGACGCAGUAGGAUAGGCGAAGCGUGCGAUUGGAUUGCACGUCUAAGCAGUAAGGCUGAGUAUUAGGCAAAUCCGGUACUCGUUAAGGCUGAGCUGUGAUGGGGAG
This 622-nucleotide ribosomal RNA is filed under the name Staphylococcus aureus. RNAcentral describes it as "partial 23S ribosomal RNA". It matches the Rfam family "Bacterial large subunit ribosomal RNA", at positions 950 to 1573 of the family's 2925-position model. The record is from RNAcentral. Lineage: Bacteria; Bacillati; Bacillota; Bacilli; Caryophanales; Staphylococcaceae.